This 947-nucleotide ribosomal RNA is filed under the name uncultured bacterium. RNAcentral describes it as "bacterial SSU rRNA". It matches the Rfam family "Bacterial small subunit ribosomal RNA", at positions 523 to 1482 of the family's 1533-position model. The record is from RNAcentral.
AUACGGAGGAUCCGAGCGUUAUCCGGAUUUAUUGGGUUUAAAGGGAGCGUAGGUGGACUGGUAAGUCAGUUGUGAAAGUUUGCGGCUCAACCGUAAAAUUGCAGUUGAUACUGUCAGUCUUGAGUACAGUAGAGGUGGGCGGAAUUCGUGGUGUAGCGGUGAAAUGCUUAGAUAUCACGAAGAACUCCGAUUGCGAAGGCAGCUCACUGGACUGCAACUGACACUGAUGCUCGAAAGUGUGGGUAUCAAACAGGAUUAGAUACCCUGGUAGUCCACACAGUAAACGAUGAAUACUCGCUGUUUGCGAUAUACAGUAAGCGGCCAAGCGAAAGCAUUAAGUAUUCCACCUGGGGAGUACGCCGGCAACGGUGAAACUCAAAGGAAUUGACGGGGGCCCGCACAAGCGGAGGAACAUGUGGUUUAAUUCGAUGAUACGCGAGGAACCUUACCCGGGCUUAAAUUGCAGUGGAAUGAUGUGGAAACAUGUCAGUGAGCAAUCACCGCUGUGAAGGUGCUGCAUGGUUGUCGUCAGCUCGUGCCGUGAGGUGUCGGCUUAAGUGCCAUAACGAGCGCAACCCUUAUCUUCAGUUACUAACAGGUCAUGCUGAGGACUCUGGAGAGACUGCCGUCGUAAGAUGUGAGGAAGGUGGGGAUGACGUCAAAUCAGCACGGCCCUUACGUCCGGGGCUACACACGUGUUACAAUGGGGGGUACAGAAGGCAGCUAGCGGGUGACCGUAUGCUAAUCCCAAAAGCCUCUCUCAGUUCGGAUCGAAGUCUGCAACCCGACUUCGUGAAGCUGGAUUCGCUAGUAAUCGCGCAUCAGCCACGGCGCGGUGAAUACGUUCCCGGGCCUUGUACACACCGCCCGUCAAGCCAUGGGAGCCGGGGGUACCUGAAGUACGUAACCGCAAGGAUCGUCCUAGGGUAAAACUGGUGACUGGGGCU